RNAcentral lists this ribosomal RNA (219 nucleotides) under uncultured bacterium. RNAcentral's name for it is "partial 16S ribosomal RNA". It matches the Rfam family "Bacterial small subunit ribosomal RNA", at positions 524 to 740 of the family's 1533-position model. The record is from RNAcentral.
UACAGAGGGUGCGAGCGUUGUUCGGAAUCAUUGGGCGUAAAGCGCUUGUAGGCGGCUUGUUAAGUCGCGUGUGAAAUCCCUUGGCUCAACCAAGGAAGUGCGCGCGAAACUGGCGAGCUCGAGUGCCGGAGAGGGUCGCGGAAUUCCCGGUGUAGAGGUGAAAUUCGAUGAGAUAUCGGGAGGAACACCAGUGGCGAAGGCGGCGACCUGGACGGACAC